RNAcentral lists this ribosomal RNA (429 nucleotides) under Verrucomicrobiota bacterium. RNAcentral's name for it is "Verrucomicrobia bacterium partial 16S ribosomal RNA". It matches the Rfam family "Bacterial small subunit ribosomal RNA", at positions 355 to 776 of the family's 1533-position model. Lineage: Bacteria; Pseudomonadati; Verrucomicrobiota. The record is from RNAcentral.
UAGGGAAUCUUCGGCAAUGGGGGGAACCCUGACCGAGCAACGCCGCGUGAGUGAAGAAGGUUUUCGGAUCGUAAAGCUCUGUUGUUAAGGAAGAACGAGUGUGAGAAUGGAAAGUUCAUGCUGUGACGGUACUUAACCAGAAAGGGACGGCUAACUACGUGCCAGCAGCCGCGGUAAUACGUAGGUCCCGAGCGUUGUCCGGAUUUAUUGGGCGUAAAGCGAGCGCAGGCGGUUAGAAAAGUCUGAAGUGAAAGGCAGUGGCUCAACCAUUGUAGGCUUUGGAAACUGUUUAACUUGAGUGCAGAAGGGGAGAGUGGAAUUCCAUGUGUAGCGGUGAAAUGCGUAGAUAUAUGGAGGAACACCGGUGGCGAAGGCGGGUCUCUGGGCUGUUACUGACGCUGAGGAGCGAAAGCGUGGGGAGCGAACAGG